GAUGAACGCUGGCGGCGUGCCUAAUACAUGCAAGUCGAGCGAACAGACGAGGAGCUUGCUCCUCUGACGUUAGCGGCGGACGGGUGAGUAACACGUGGAUAACCUACCUAUAAGACUGGGAUAACUUCGGGAAACCGGAGCUAAUACCGGAUAAUAUAUUGAACCGCAUGGUUCAAUAGUGAAAGACGGUUUUGCUGUCACUUAUAGAUGGAUCCGCGCCGCAUUAGCUAGUUGGUAAGGUAACGGCUUACCAAGGCAACGAUGCGUAGCCGACCUGAGAGGGUGAUCAGCCACACUGGAACUGAGACACGGUCCAGACUCCUACGGGAGGCAGCAGUAGGGAAUCUUCCGCAAUGGGCGAAAGCCUGACGGAGCAACGCCGCGUGAGUGAUGAAGGUCUUCGGAUCGUAAAACCCUGUUAUUAGGGAAGAACAAAUGUGUAAGUAACUAUGCACGUCUUGACGGUACCUAAUCAGAAAGCCACGGCUAACUACGUG
Molecule: ribosomal RNA, 497 nt
Filed under: uncultured bacterium
Lineage: Bacteria
Description: partial 16S ribosomal RNA
Rfam family: Bacterial small subunit ribosomal RNA
Source: RNAcentral